UACGUAGGCAGCGAGCGUUGUUCGGAGUUACUGGGCGUAAAGGGUGUGUAGGCGGUUGUUUAAGUUUGGUGUGAAAUCUCCCCGGCUCAACUGGGAGGGUGCGCCGAAUACUGAAUGACUUCGAGUACGGGAGAGGUGAGUGGAAUUCCUGGUGUAGCGGUGAAAUGCGCAGAUAUCAGGAAGAACACCAAUGGCGAAAGCAGCUCUCUGGGACGGUACUGACGCUGAGACGCGAAAGCGUGGGGAGCGAACAGG
Molecule: ribosomal RNA, 255 nt
Filed under: uncultured bacterium
Lineage: Bacteria
Description: partial 16S ribosomal RNA
Rfam family: Bacterial small subunit ribosomal RNA
Source: RNAcentral